RNAcentral lists this ribosomal RNA (164 nucleotides) under Hornstedtia hainanensis. RNAcentral's name for it is "5.8S ribosomal RNA". It matches the Rfam family "5.8S ribosomal RNA". Rfam says of the family: 5.8S ribosomal RNA (5.8S rRNA) is a component of the large subunit of the eukaryotic ribosome. Lineage: Eukaryota; Viridiplantae; Streptophyta; Magnoliopsida; Zingiberales; Zingiberaceae. The record is from RNAcentral.
CGAAUGACUCUCGGCAAUGGAUAUCUCGGCUCUUGCAUCGAUGAAGAACGUAGUGAAAUGCGAUACUUGGUGUGAAUUGCAGAAUCUCGUGAACCAUUGAGUCUUUGAACGCAAGUUGUGCCCAAGGCUUUAUGGUCGAGGGCACGUCUGCUUGGGCGUCAUGG